This 253-nucleotide ribosomal RNA is filed under the name uncultured bacterium. RNAcentral's name for it is "partial 16S ribosomal RNA". It matches the Rfam family "Bacterial small subunit ribosomal RNA", at positions 524 to 776 of the family's 1533-position model. The record is from RNAcentral.
UACGUAGGGUGCGAGCGUUAAUCGGAAUUACUGGGCGUAAAGCGUGCGCAGGCGGUUCGUUAAGUUCGUCGUGAAAGCCCCGGGCUCAACCUGGGAAUGGCGAUGGAAACUGGCGGGCUGGAGUAUGGCAGAGGGGGGUGGAAUUCCGCGUGUAGCAGUGAAAUGCGUAGAGAUGCGGAGGAACACCGAUGGCGAAGGCAGACCCCUGGGCCAAUACUGACGCUCAGGCACGAAAGCGUGGGGAGCAAACAGG